CCUACGGGUGGCUGCAGUGGGGAAUAUUGGACAAUGGGGGCAACCCUGAUCCAGCCAUGCCGCGUGUGUGAAGAAGGCCCUCGGGUUGUAAAGCACUUUCAGUGAGGAAGAACGCCUGGUGGUUAAUACCCAUCAGGAAAGACAUCACUCACAGAAGAAGCACCGGCUAACUCCGUGCCAGCAGCCGCGGUAAUACGGAGGGUGCGAGCGUUAAUCGGAAUUUCUGGGCGUAAAGCGCGCGUAGGUGGCUUGAUAAGCCGGUUGUGAAAGCCCCGGGCUCAACCUGGGAACGGCAUCCGGAACUGUCAAGCUAGAGUGCAGGAGAGGAAGGUAGAAUUCCCGGUGUAGCGGUGAAAUGCGUAGAGAUCGGGAGGAAUACCAGUGGCGAAGGCGGCCUUCUGGACUGACACUGACACUGAGGUGCGAAAGCGUGGGUAGCAAACAGGAUUAGAUACCCCUGUAGUC
This 465-nucleotide ribosomal RNA is filed under the name Vreelandella stevensii. Its description in RNAcentral is "partial 16S ribosomal RNA". It matches the Rfam family "Bacterial small subunit ribosomal RNA", at positions 338 to 795 of the family's 1533-position model. Lineage: Bacteria; Pseudomonadati; Pseudomonadota; Gammaproteobacteria; Oceanospirillales; Halomonadaceae. The record is from RNAcentral.